RNAcentral lists this ribosomal RNA (465 nucleotides) under uncultured bacterium. RNAcentral describes it as "partial 16S ribosomal RNA". It matches the Rfam family "Bacterial small subunit ribosomal RNA", at positions 338 to 795 of the family's 1533-position model. The record is from RNAcentral.
CCUACGGGGGGCAGCAGUGGGGAAUAUUGCGCAAUGGGCGAAAGCCUGACGCAGCGAUGCCGCGUGAGGGAUGAAGGUCUUCGGAUCGUAAACCUCUGUCAGCAGGGAAGAAGGGUCACUGUGCUAAUCAGCAGUGAAUUGACGGUACCUGCAAAGGAAGCACCGGCUAACUCCGUGCCAGCAGCCGCGGUAAUACGGAGGGUGCGAGCGUUAAUCGGAAUUACUGGGCGUAAAGCGCACGUAGGCGGUAUGUCAAGUCAAGGGUGAAAUCCCCGGGCUCAACGUGGGAACUGCCUUUGAAACUGGCAGGCUGGAGUGUGGGAGAGGAUGGUAGAAUUCCAGGUGUAGCGGUGAAAUGCGUAGAUAUCUGGAGGAACAUCAGUGGCGAAGGCGACCCUCUGGCAGAAGACUGACGCUGAGGUGCGAAAGCGUGGGUAGCAAACAGGAUUAGAUACCCCAGUAGUC